This 947-nucleotide long non-coding RNA is filed under the name Heterocephalus glaber (naked mole-rat). RNAcentral's name for it is "lncRNA (ENSHGLG00100043589.1)". The record is from RNAcentral. Lineage: Eukaryota; Metazoa; Chordata; Mammalia; Rodentia; Bathyergidae.
CUAUUGCAACCAAGCGUGGCCUCUAUAUAGAUUAGGUGACGAUUCCGAAUGGCCAGAAAAUGGAACGUUCCACCCGAAUGUUCUUCGGGACCUCCACUAUUUCUGUCAUCGCAAUGGCAAAAGUUUGGAGACCAAAACUAAAAAGGUAACUGGGCUAUGAGGACAGCCAAUAUUUUAGCCCUGGCCCCUCAAGGUCAACAAAGAUCCAAGACAUAAGGGAACCUUCUCUACAGGAUCCUACCUCUUUGGAGCAGUUGGAGGUCUUUACCAAUCAGACAGUCGGUGAACUCAUUAUGGCCAGUUAUCAACCUUUUGCCACAGGAGACCACGCCAUCAUCACGUAGGACCCAGACCUGUUACCCUUUAUCACUGCCUCUGUGCUCACAGGAAGCAGCUACAAUAAAGAGACCUCUGCCCUUACUCCAUAAUAAUAUCAAGAGUCUGGAAUGAUAGAGUUCUCUGCUAGGUAAAAUGGCCCUGAGAACCCUGCAUCCUAAAAUGGCCCCUACCUACAGGAAACAAGUCACCUCCUUUUUUCCACCUCGCCCCCAGCCGUAGCCAAUCAUCUGCCACUACCACACUCCCCCAGCCCUUAUAAACCUCACCCAGCCAACCCCUGGUUGCUAUUCUCGCCAUUGUUCGAGACAGCCUGGCAGCUCUGCCCCUUAAUAAAAGCUUUAGCUUGGGUGUUCACAUUUUGGCUCAUUUUAUUUCUCUCAAUGAUAACCAGAAAAAGUGAUACCUUGGUUGUCGAAUGGUUCUAAAAAUUGAACUUUCCACUACUUGAAAAGCAAAGUUAAAAAAAAAAUCUGUUUGGUUUUGGUAACUUUGCUCCAUAGUCAAACCGAAAAUCCAAUAGGCUGAGAGUGAGGCAUGUGUCCUAUCUCCCUGUGAACACAAAGGGUGUCAUUUCGGUUUAAGCACCCCUCUUGCCCAGACUACAGGCA